This is a non-coding RNA of Cajanus cajan (pigeon pea), 962 nucleotides long. NCBI's taxonomy places the organism in Eukaryota, Viridiplantae, Streptophyta, Magnoliopsida, Fabales, Fabaceae. The record is from RefSeq and is a predicted model, not a curated record.
UCGAUAACCGAUUUUAAAUAUCCGCCUCAAGUUUUCCCCCUCGUUUUCUCUCGCAGGUUUAUCUUUCGAACGCGCGCAGUUGUUGUCUUCGUUGCACUUGUUCCUCGUCGUUGGCCAUUCAUCUUCGUUCAUCUUGUUCUCUUCGUUGUAGCUGUUCAUCGUGAGAGCUCGGUUUGGAGUUUAGGUGGAGGAGGGUUUUGAGGGCGGAGAGGGAGGCGCGGACGGCGGAGAAGGGUUUCCUCUGUUGUGUUCUUCUAUGGUAAUCUUGUGGCUUUGCUCUGAAGUUGUUAGACACUGUUAGGAGAAAUCGAGAAGGCACAGAGCUUCACUGCCUCAAGGUGCAAGAGGCAGAUAUUGAUAAAUCAGUUCAAAAGCGAAGAAAAAGACAGGAACAGGUUCUAGAAUCCAAGGAAACAACAAAACUACGAAGCAUAGAUCAUAACUUAUGGAUCAAAGUUGGUUAUUGGAUCGAAGUUGGAUACGAGCGCCACGCAUAAGUGAGCAAUAUGAGACUGGAGUGAAAUAUUUUAUUGAAUAUGUAAUACGGAAUGUUGAUGAUGAUAUGAAUGGAAAGUUUUUCUGCCCUUGUGUUAAUUGUUGUAAUGGGAGUCGUUUAGAACUUGAUGUUAUAAGGGAACAUCUUCUAUGUGAUGGGUUUCUUAAGAAUUAUACACAUUGGAUAUGGCAUGGUGAACCAGUUGGUGGAGCUAAAGGUCUCUCAAGUUAUAGCAACUUAUGAGCAAAAAUUUAGUCAGAUGCAAGAGGAGAUUCAUAAGCGACUACAAAAGGACAUGCAAAGGAAACUACAAGAGCAUAUGCAAUCACUGAGCCAACAAUUUCAACAAAGUGCUCCACUAUUAGAACCAUUUAUUGCACGUGUGAGUACAAAGGGAUCAUGUGCAUCUAUUGAUCCCCCUUUUACUGCCACUAGCCCAGGUACAUCUAAUAAAUGUGAGUUGUUU